Molecule: transfer RNA, 89 nt
Filed under: Staphylococcus epidermidis
Lineage: Bacteria; Bacillati; Bacillota; Bacilli; Caryophanales; Staphylococcaceae
Description: tRNA-Ser
Rfam family: tRNA
About the family: Transfer RNA (tRNA) molecules are approximately 80 nucleotides in length. Their secondary structure includes four short double-helical elements and three loops (D, anti-codon, and T loops). Further hydrogen bonds mediate the characteristic L-shaped molecular structure. tRNAs have two regions of fundamental functional importance: the anti-codon, which is responsible for specific mRNA codon recognition, and the 3' end, to which the tRNAs corresponding amino acid is attached (by aminoacyl-tRNA synthetases). tRNAs cope with the degeneracy of the genetic code in two manners: having more than one tRNA (with a specific anti-codon) for a particular amino acid; and 'wobble' base-pairing, i.e. permitting non-standard base-pairing at the 3rd anti-codon position.
Source: RNAcentral
GGAGGAAUACCCAAGUCCGGCUGAAGGAUCGGUCUUGAAAACCGACAGGAGCUUAACGGCUCGCGGGGGUUCGAAUCCCUCUUCCUCCG